AGUGAUUAAGAGUGUCGCGACGGAGAGCGUCGAAGGGAAGGAGUGAGCCUACCUGGAGUCUCCGUCGCAGUAGUUAAUACUAAAUUAUGAACCUUUAGGACGGAAAAUGGUUACAUUUGGACAUUUUUUGAAUGUGGAUGAGUCGGCCUUUAGGGAUCGCAGAGAUCCAAUUCGAAGGCGAUAUCUUAUCGACUAAUAGGGGAUGACCACAAGGAAACAGGAUUUAAAGUCCGGCAACAGGUAUUAAGACAUUGGCCUCGAGUGCCGUAACUCAAACGAAAUCGGAUAUGCCCAUGAUGGAACCGGGGACAAAUUGUUUUCGUUAGGAAUUCUUUUGUUCCUGGAAGAAUAUCUUGCCGAGAUAAGGACGUGGUUUCGUAAGAGCAUUUCAUUUCUCGAGAAUGUUCGGGAUCUUUCUACCAGCUCUUGGAAAUCUGAAGGAGAGAGUGUAAUUUUCAUCCCAAUCCGUACCCAUAUCCGCAGCAGUCGGCAACGUGAACCGCCAAUAGUCUAUGGAACAAUUUUGAUAUAAGAAGUCUGCCGUUUCGAUCCGUAACUUCGGGAUAAAUUUUGGCUCUGAAGUUAGGGCAGCGGUAGGAAGCGCUGAGUUUCGCUCGUGCGGACUGGGAGGUAGGUCCAUCCUCGCGUGGAGAAACGGCGUAGAAUGGAUCAGCGAGGCGGUGGAUUCAGAUCGAACGUGUGGGACCGUUUUGGGGGGGCGCUUGACGGCCUAAUCGAAACUGGCACGAGCUAGGAGAAUACGAUUCUCUUAAUUAAAGCACUACGAUCAGUGUUGACGCAAUGUGAUUUGUGUCCAGUGCUCUGAUUGUCAAGAUGAAGAAUUUCAUCGGAGCUCGGAUAAAACGGCGAGACUAACUAU
RNAcentral lists this ribosomal RNA (880 nucleotides) under Nephila pilipes (giant wood spider). Its description in RNAcentral is "partial 28S ribosomal RNA". It matches the Rfam family "Eukaryotic large subunit ribosomal RNA", at positions 1376 to 2266 of the family's 3401-position model. Lineage: Eukaryota; Metazoa; Arthropoda; Arachnida; Araneae; Nephilidae. The record is from RNAcentral.